GCCUAAAGCGUCCGUAGCCGGCUAUGUUAGUUCUCGGUUAAAUCCAUGUGCUCAACACAUGGGCUGUCGAGAAUACUGCAUAGCUAGGGGGUGGGAGAGGUAGACGGUACUCGGUAGGAAGGGGUAAAAUCCUUUGAUCUAUCGAUGACCACCAGUGGCGAAGGCGGUCUACCAGAACACGUCCGACGGUGAGGGAUGAAAGCUGGGGGAGCAAACCGGAUUAGAUACCCGGGUAGUCCCAGCUGUAAACUAUGCAAACUCAGUGAUGCAUUGGCUUGUGGCCAAUGCAGUGCCGCAGAGAAGUCGUUAAGUUUGCCGCCUGGGAAGUACGUACGCAAGUAUGAAACUUAAAGGAAUUGGCGGGGGAGCACCACAAGGGGUGAAGCCUGCGGUUCAAUUGGAGUCAACGCCAGAAAUCUUACCCGGAGAGACAGCAGAAUGAAGGUCAGGCUGAAGACUUUACCAGACAAGCUGAGAAGUGGUGCAUGGCCGUCGCCAGCUCGUGCCGUGAGAUGUCCUGUUAAGUCAGGUAACGAGCGAGAUCCCUGCCUCUAGUUGCCACCAUUACUCUCAGGAGUAGUGGGGCGAAUUAGCGGGACUGCCGCAGUUAAUGCGGAGGAAGGAGGGGGCCACGGCAGGUCAGUAUGCCCCGAA
This 654-nucleotide ribosomal RNA is filed under the name uncultured archaeon. RNAcentral describes it as "bacterial SSU rRNA". It matches the Rfam family "Archaeal small subunit ribosomal RNA", at positions 508 to 1160 of the family's 1478-position model. The record is from RNAcentral.